Molecule: ribosomal RNA, 247 nt
Filed under: uncultured bacterium
Lineage: Bacteria
Description: partial 16S ribosomal RNA
Rfam family: Bacterial small subunit ribosomal RNA
Source: RNAcentral
AUACGGAGGGAGCUAGCGUUAUUCGGAAUUACUGGGCGUAAAGCGCACGUAGGCGGCUUUGUAAGUUAGAGGUGAAAGCCUGGAGCUCAACUCCAGAAUUGCCUUUAAGACUGCAUCGCUUGAAUCCAGGAGAGGUGAGUGGAAUUCCGAGUGUAGAGGUGAAAUUCGUAGAUAUUCGGAAGAACACCAGUGGCGAAGGCGGCUCACUGGACUGGUAUUGACGCUGAGGUGCGAAAGCGUGGGGAGC